This 450-nucleotide ribosomal RNA is filed under the name uncultured bacterium. RNAcentral describes it as "partial 16S ribosomal RNA". It matches the Rfam family "Bacterial small subunit ribosomal RNA", at positions 354 to 796 of the family's 1533-position model. The record is from RNAcentral.
GUGGGGAAUUUUGGACAAUGGGCGAAAGCCUGAUCCAGCCAUGCCGCGUGCAGGAUGAAGGCCUUCGGGUUGUAAACUGCUUUUGUACGGAACGAAAAGACUCCUUCUAAUAAAGGGGGUCCAUGACGGUACCGUAAGAAUAAGCACCGGCUAACUACGUGCCAGCAGCCGCGGUAAUACGUAGGGUGCAAGCGUUAAUCGGAAUUACUGGGCGUAAAGCGUGAGCAGGCGGUUAUAUAAGACAGAUGUGAAAUCCCCGGGCUCAACCUGGGAACUGCAUUUGUGGCUGUAUAGCUAGAGUACGGUAGAGGGGGAUGGAAUUCCGCGUGUAGCAGUGAAAUGCGUAGAUAUGCGGAGGAACACCGAUGGCGAAGGCAAUCCCCUGGACCUGUACUGACGCUCAUGCACGAAAGCGUGGGGAGCAAACAGGAUUAGAAACCCGGGUAGUCC